This 852-nucleotide ribosomal RNA is filed under the name uncultured bacterium. Its description in RNAcentral is "bacterial SSU rRNA". It matches the Rfam family "Bacterial small subunit ribosomal RNA", at positions 556 to 1412 of the family's 1533-position model. The record is from RNAcentral.
GGGUUUAAAGGGAGUGUNGGCGGUUUGUUAAGCGUGUUGUGAAAUUUAGGUGCUCAACAUUUAACUUGCAGCGCGAACUGUCAGACUUGAGUACACGCAACGUAUGCGGAAUUCAUGGUGUAGCGGUGAAAUGCUCAGAUAUCAUGAAGAACUCCGAUUGCGAAGGCAGCAUACGGGAGUGUAACUGACGCUUAAGCUCGAAGGUGCGGGUAUCGAACAGGAUUAGAUACCCUGGUAGUCCGCACAGUAAACGAUGGAUGCCCGCUGUUAGCGCCUGGCGUUAGCGGCUAAGCGAAAGCAUUGAGCAUCCCACCUGGGGAGUACGCCGGCAACGGUGAAACUCAAAGGAAUUGACGGGGGCCCGCACAAGCGGAGGAACAUGUGGUUUAAUUCGAUGAUACGCGAGGAACCUUACCCGGGCUUGAAUUGCAGAGGAAUUAUUUAGAGAUAGAUACGCCCUUCGGGGUCUCUGUGAAGGUGCUGCAUGGUUGUCGUCAGCUCGUGCCGUGAGGUGUCGGCUUAAGUGCCAUAACGAGCGCAACCCCUUUUCUUAGUUGCCAUCAGGUAAUGCUGGGCACUCUGGGAACACUGCCACCGCAAGGUGUGAGGAAGGUGGGGAUGACGUCAAAUCAGCACGGCCCUUACGUCCGGGGCUACACACGUGUUACAAUGGCCGGUACAGAGGGAUGGUGUAAUGCAAAUUGCAUCAAAUCUUAAAAGCCGGUCCCAGUUCGGACUGAGGUCUGCAACCCGACCUCACGAAGCUGGAUUCGCUAGUAAUCGCGCAUCAGCCAUGGCGCGGUGAAUACGUUCCCGGGCCUUGUACACACCGCCCGUCAAGCCAUGAAAGCC